UACGUAGGGGGCAAGCGUUGUCCGGAUUCACUGGGCGUAAAGGGCGCGUAGGCGGUUCCGUAAGUCAGGCGUGAAAGCUCACGGCUCAACUGUGGACGUGCGUCUGAUACUGCGGUGACUUGAGGUCGGUAGAGGUAAGUGGAACUAGCGGUGUAGCGGUGAAAUGCGCAGAUAUCGCUAGGAACGCCGGUGGCGAAGGCGACUUGCUGGGCCGUACCUGACGCUGAUGCGCGAAAGCGUGGGUAGCAAACAGG
This 254-nucleotide ribosomal RNA is filed under the name uncultured bacterium. RNAcentral's name for it is "partial 16S ribosomal RNA". It matches the Rfam family "Bacterial small subunit ribosomal RNA", at positions 524 to 776 of the family's 1533-position model. The record is from RNAcentral.